GACGAACGCUGGCGGCGUGCCUAAUACAUGCAAGUAGAACGCUGAAGGAGGAGCUUGCUUCUCUGGAUGAGUUGCGAACGGGUGAGUAACGCGUAGGUAACCUGCCUGGUAGCGGGGGAUAACUAUUGGAAACGAUAGCUAAUACCGCAUAAGAGUAGAUGUUGCAUGACAUUUGCUUAAAAGGUGCAAUUGCAUCACUACCAGAUGGACCUGCGUUGUAUUAGCUAGUUGGUGAGGUAACGGCUCACCAAGGCAACGAUACAUAGCCGACCUGAGAGGGUGGUCGGCCACACUGGGACUGAGACACGGCCCAGACUCCUACGGGAGGCAGCAGUAGGGAAUCUUCGGCAAUGGACGGAAGUCUGACCGAGCAACGCCGCGUGAGUGAAGAAGGGUUUCGGAUCGUAAAGCUCGGUUGUAAGAGAAGAACGAGUGUGAGAGUGGAAAGUUCACACUGUGACGGUAUCUUACCAGAAAGGGACGGCUAACUACGUG
This 495-nucleotide ribosomal RNA is filed under the name uncultured bacterium. RNAcentral's name for it is "partial 16S ribosomal RNA". It matches the Rfam family "Bacterial small subunit ribosomal RNA", at positions 28 to 507 of the family's 1533-position model. The record is from RNAcentral.